AAGAAAAGGGAAAUAAAGAAAAGCCAUCUCAAAUGGAAAGGAAGAAGUUAAAUUAUCUCCAUUUGCAGAUAACAUAGUCCUAUAUACAGAAAAACCCCCCAAAUCCACAAUACAGUUAACUAAACCUCACAAGGGAACUCAGCAAAGUUGCAGGGUAUAAGAUCAAUAUGCAAUAGCCAGUUGUAUUUCUGUACACAUGCAAUGAACAGUCUGCAAAGGAAAUUAAGAAAGCAAUUCAAUAUGUAAUAGCAUUUAAAAGA
Non-coding RNA from Vicugna pacos (alpaca), 260 nucleotides. The record is from RefSeq and is a predicted model, not a curated record. NCBI's taxonomy places the organism in Eukaryota, Metazoa, Chordata, Mammalia, Artiodactyla, Camelidae.